Molecule: small RNA, 148 nt
Filed under: Pongo abelii (Sumatran orangutan)
Lineage: Eukaryota; Metazoa; Chordata; Mammalia; Primates; Hominidae
Description: Metazoan signal recognition particle RNA (ENSPPYG00000033481.1)
Source: Rfam by way of RNAcentral
GCCAGGUGUGGUGGUGUGCACCUGUAGUCCCAGCUAUUCAGGAGGCUAAGGCGGGAGAAUCCCUUGAGCCCAGGAGUUUGAGGUUGCAGUGAGCUAUGAUUGCACCACUGCACUCCAGCCUGGGCAACAGAGAGAGAACCUGUCUCUA